GGAAAACUUACCAGGUCCAGACAUAGUGAGGAUUGACAGAUUGAGAGCUCUUUCUUGAUUCUAUGGGAGGUGGUGCAUGUCCGUUCUUAGUUGGUGGAGUGAUUUGUCUGGUUAAUUCCAUUAACGAGCGAGACCCCCGCCUGCUAAAUAGGUCCGUGAAUGAAUUUCAUUGACGAGAUCUUCUUAGAGGGACUUUUGGUGACUAACCAAAGGAAUUUGGGGGCAAUAA
Molecule: ribosomal RNA, 229 nt
Filed under: uncultured eukaryote
Lineage: Eukaryota
Description: partial small subunit ribosomal RNA
Rfam family: Eukaryotic small subunit ribosomal RNA
Source: RNAcentral